RNAcentral lists this ribosomal RNA (738 nucleotides) under uncultured bacterium. RNAcentral's name for it is "bacterial SSU rRNA". It matches the Rfam family "Bacterial small subunit ribosomal RNA", at positions 62 to 767 of the family's 1533-position model. The record is from RNAcentral.
UCGAACGAAACUUCUUUAUCACCGAGUGCUUGCACUCACCGAUAAAGAGUUGAGUGGCGAACGGGUGAGUAACACGUGGGCAACCUGCCCAAAAGAGGGGGAUAACACUUGGAAACAGGUGCUAAUACCGCAUAACCAUAGUUACCGCAUGGUAACUAUGUAAAAGGUGGCUAUGCUACCGCUUUUGGAUGGGCCCGCGGCGCAUUAGCUAGUUGGUGGGGUAAAGGCUUACCAAGGCAAUGAUGCGUAGCCGAACUGAGAGGUUGAUCGGCCACAUUGGGACUGAGACACGGCCCAAACUCCUACGGGAGGCAGCAGUAGGGAAUCUUCCACAAUGGGCGAAAGCCUGAUGGAGCAACGCCGCGUGGGUGAAGAAGGUCUUCGGAUCGUAAAACCCUGUUGUUAGAGAAGAAAGUGCGUGAGAGUAACUGUUCACGUUUCGACGGUAUCUAACCAGAAAGCCACGGCUAACUACGUGCCAGCAGCCGCGGUAAUACGUAGGUGGCAAGCGUUAUCCGGAUUUAUUGGGCGUAAAGGGAACGCAGGCGGUCUUUUAAGUCUGAUGUGAAAGCCUUCGGCUUAACCGGAGUAGUGCAUUGGAAACUGGGAGACUUGAGUGCAGAAGAGGAGAGUGGAACUCCAUGUGUAGCGGUGAAAUGCGUAGAUAUAUGGAAGAACACCAGUGGCGAAAGCGGCUCUCUGGUCUGUAACUGACGCUGAGGUUCGAAAGCGUGGGUA